GCAAAGGGCACUCCACUUCUGAAAGUAGAAGCAGUCGGUGACGGCUGGUCAGGGGAGAAGAAAACAACCGCCCGCAAGGGUAAGGGUGAGAAGGUGGUGCAAGAGACCACCAGCCGACGGGUGAUCGUCGGGCUGUUCCCGCUGGAGGCUGCAAGUUCAUGUAUACCAUCGUCAUGUUAGGGUUGCCCGCCCGAGUUUCUUUCUGGGGAUGCGAUGGAGGGUAGAACGCUUGAGACACAUCGCGAGGUGUGUAGUAGAUAAAUGGCAGGCACCGCCGUCAGGCGGAACAGAACCCGGCUUAUAGGGGCAGUGCUUUC
RNAcentral lists this RNase P RNA (317 nucleotides) under Prevotella sp. RNAcentral describes it as "partial RNase P RNA component class A". It matches the Rfam family "Bacterial RNase P class A", at positions 59 to 367 of the family's 367-position model. Rfam says of the family: Ribonuclease P (RNase P) is a ubiquitous endoribonuclease, found in archaea, bacteria and eukarya as well as chloroplasts and mitochondria. Its best characterised activity is the generation of mature 5'-ends of tRNAs by cleaving the 5'-leader elements of precursor-tRNAs. Lineage: Bacteria; Pseudomonadati; Bacteroidota; Bacteroidia; Bacteroidales; Prevotellaceae. The record is from RNAcentral.